GGCUUUUUGAAUAUAAUUUAAGGUCGGGCCUGCCCAAUGAUUAAUUUAAAUGGCCGCGGUAUACUGACCGUGCAAAGGUAGCAUAAUCAUUAGUUUUUUAAUUGAAAGCUUGUAUGAAGGGUUUAAUGAAAAAAAUACUGUCUCUAUUUAAGUUUAUUAGAAUUUUAUAUUUAAGUAAAAAAGCUUAAAUUUAUAUUGAAGACGAGAAGACCCUAUAGAGUUUAAUAUUUUAUGUAGUAAUUAGUUAUUAAGAAUUUUAAGGAUUUGUUGCAUAGAGUAUUUAAUUGGGGUGAUUGAAAAAUUAAUUAAACUUUUUUUGUAUUUUUACAUUGAUUAAUGAAUUUAUGAUCCUUUAGUUAAGAUUAAAAGAUAUAAUUACCUUAGGGAUAACAGCGUAAUUUUUUUUAGAGUUCUUAUCGAAAGAAAAGGUUGCGACCUCGAUGUUGGAUUAAAAUUAAUUAUUGGUGUAGAAGCUAAUAAAUUAGGUCUGUUCGACCUUUAAAUUUUUACAUGAUCUGAGUUUAAACCGGUGUAAG
This 536-nucleotide ribosomal RNA is filed under the name Acalles maraoensis. RNAcentral describes it as "partial 16S ribosomal RNA". It matches the Rfam family "Bacterial large subunit ribosomal RNA", at positions 1819 to 2625 of the family's 2925-position model. The record is from RNAcentral. Lineage: Eukaryota; Metazoa; Arthropoda; Insecta; Coleoptera; Curculionidae.